UACGUAGGGGGCAAGCGUUGUCCGGAUUUAUUGGGCGUAAAGAGCGUGUAGGCGGCCAGAUAGGUCCGUUGUGAAAACUCGAGGCUCAACCUCGAGACGCCGAUGGAAACCAUUUGGCUAGAGUCCGGAAGAGGAGAGUGGAAUUCCUGGUGUAGCGGUGAAAUGCGCAGAUAUCAGGAAGAACACCCGUGGCUAAGGCGGCUCUCUAGUACGGUACUGACGCUGAGACGCGAAAGCGUGGGGAGCGAACAGG
This 253-nucleotide ribosomal RNA is filed under the name uncultured bacterium. Its description in RNAcentral is "partial 16S ribosomal RNA". It matches the Rfam family "Bacterial small subunit ribosomal RNA", at positions 524 to 776 of the family's 1533-position model. The record is from RNAcentral. RNAcentral also lists the same sequence under 1 other name.